UGGCCUACGGGAGGCAGCAGUGGGGAAUUUUGGACAAUGGGGGCAACCCUGAUCCAGCCAUGCCGCGUGUCUGAAGAAGGCCUUCGGGUUGUAAAGGCCUUUUGUCCGGGAAGAAAAGCGCGAUGUUAAUACCAUUGCGUGCUGACGGUACCGGAAGAAUAAGCACCGGCUAACUACGUGCCAGCAGCCGCGGUAAUACGUAGGGUGCGAGCGUUAAUCGGAAUUACUGGGCGUAAAGCGGGCGCAGACGGUUACUUAAGCAGGAUGUGAAAUCCCCGGGCUCAACCUGGGAAUUGCGUUCUGAA
RNAcentral lists this ribosomal RNA (305 nucleotides) under uncultured bacterium. RNAcentral describes it as "bacterial SSU rRNA". It matches the Rfam family "Bacterial small subunit ribosomal RNA", at positions 335 to 632 of the family's 1533-position model. The record is from RNAcentral.